This 2152-nucleotide ribosomal RNA is filed under the name Escherichia coli. Its description in RNAcentral is "partial 23S ribosomal RNA". It matches the Rfam family "Bacterial large subunit ribosomal RNA", at positions 1 to 2168 of the family's 2925-position model. Lineage: Bacteria; Pseudomonadati; Pseudomonadota; Gammaproteobacteria; Enterobacterales; Enterobacteriaceae. The record is from RNAcentral.
GGGUUGUGAGGUUAAGCGACUAAGCGUACACGGUGGAUGCCCUGGCAGUCAGAGGCGAUGAAGGACGUGCUAAUCUGCGAUAAGCGUCGGUAAGGUGAUAUGAACCGUUAUAACCGGCGAUUUCCGAAUGGGGAAACCCAGUGUGUUUCGACACACUAUCAUUAACUGAAUCCAUAGGUUAAUGAGGCGAACCGGGGGAACUGAAACAUCUAAGUACCCCGAGGAAAAGAAAUCAACCGAGAUUCCCCCAGUAGCGGCGAGCGAACGGGGAGCAGCCCAGAGCCUGAAUCAGUGUGUGUGUUAGUGGAAGCGUCUGGAAAGGCGCGCGAUACAGGGUGACAGCCCCGUACACAAAAAUGCACAUACUGUGAGCUCGAUGAGUAGGGCGGGACACGUGGUAUCCUGUCUGAAUAUGGGGGGACCAUCCUCCAAGGCUAAAUACUCCUGACUGACCGAUAGUGAACCAGUACCGUGAGGGAAAGGCGAAAAGAACCCCGGCGAGGGGAGUGAAAAAGAACCUGAAACCGUGUACGUACAAGCAGUGGGAGCACGCUUCGGCGUGUGACUGCGUACCUUUUGUAUAAUGGGUCAGCGACUUAUAUUCUGUAGCAAGGUUAACCGAAUAGGGGAGCCGAAGGGAAACCGAGUCUUAACUGGGCGUUAAGUUGCAGGGUAUAGACCCGAAACCCGGUGAUCUAGCCAUGGGCAGGUUGAAGGUUGGGUAACACUAACUGGAGGACCGAACCGACUAAUGUUGAAAAAUUAGCGGAUGACUUGUGGCUGGGGGUGAAAGGCCAAUCAAACCGGGAGAUAGCUGGUUCUCCCCGAAAGCUAUUUAGGUAGCGCCUCGUGAAUUCAUCUCCGGGGGUAGAGCACUGUUUCGGCAAGGGGGUCAUCCCGACUUACCAACCCGAUGCAAACUGCGAAUACCGGAGAAUGUUAUCACGGGAGACACACGGCGGGUGCUAACGUCCGUCGUGAAGAGGGAAACAACCCAGACCGCCAGCUAAGGUCCCAAAGUCAUGGUUAAGUGGGAAACGAUGUGGGAAGGCCCAGACAGCCAGGAUGUUGGCUUAGAAGCAGCCAUCAUUUAAAGAAAGCGUAAUAGCUCACUGGUCGAGUCGGCCUGCGCGGAAGAUGUAACGGGGCUAAACCAUGCACCGAAGCUGCGGCAGCGACACUAUGUGUUGUUGGGUAGGGGAGCGUUCUGUAAGCCUGUGAAGGUGUACUGUGAGGUAUGCUGGAGGUAUCAGAAGUGCGAAUGCUGACAUAAGUAACGAUAAAGCGGGUGAAAAGCCCGCUCGCCGGAAGACCAAGGGUUCCUGUCCAACGUUAAUCGGGGCAGGGUGAGUCGACCCCUAAGGCGAGGCCGAAAGGCGUAGUCGAUGGGAAACAGGUUAAUAUUCCUGUACUUGGUGUUACUGCGAAGGGGGGACGGAGAAGGCUAUGUUGGCCGGGCGACGGUUGUCCCGGUUUAAGCGUGUAGGCUGGUUUUCCAGGCAAAUCCGGAAAAUCAAGGCUGAGGCGUGAUGACGAGGCACUACGGUGCUGAAGCAACAAAUGCCCUGCUUCCAGGAAAAGCCUCUAAGCAUCAGGUAACAUUAAAUCGUACCCCAAACCGACACAGGUGGUCAGGUAGAGAAUACCAAGGCGCUUGAGAGAACUCGGGUGAAGGAACUAGGCAAAAUGGUGCCGUAACUUCGGGAGAAGGCACGCUGAUAUGUAGGUGAAGUCCCUCGCGGAUGGAGCUGAAAUCAGUCGAAGAUACCAGCUGGCUGCAACUGUUUAUUAAAAACACAGCACUGUGCAAACACGAAAGUGGACGUAUACGGUGUGACGCCUGCCCGGUGCCGGAAGGUUAAUUGAUGGGGUUAGCGGUAACGCGAAGCUCUUGAUCGAAGCCCCGGUAAACGGCGGCCGUAACUAUAACGGUCCUAAGGUAGCGAAAUUCCUUGUCGGGUAAGUUCCGACCUGCACGAAUGGCGUAAUGAUGGCCAGGCUGUCUCCACCCGAGACUCAGUGAAAUUGAACUCGCUGUGAAGAUGCAGUGUACCCGCGGCAAGACGGAAAGACCCCGUGAACCUUUACUAUAGCUUGACACUGAACAUUGAGCCUUGAUGUGUAGGAUAGGUGGGAGGCUUUGAAGUGUGGA